UACGUAGGGUGCAAGCGUUAAUCGGAAUUACUGGGCGUAAAGCGUGCGCAGGCGGCUUUGCAAGACAGAUGUGAAAUCCCCGGGCUCAACCUGGGAACUGCAUUUGUGACUGCAUGGCUAGAGUACGGUAGAGGGGGAUGGAAUUCCGCGUGUAGCAGUGAAAUGCGUAGAUAUGUGGAGGAAUACCGAUGGCGAAGGCAGCCCCCUGGGUCAAGAUUGACGCUCAUGCACGAAAGCGUGGGGAGCAAACAGG
Molecule: ribosomal RNA, 253 nt
Filed under: uncultured bacterium
Lineage: Bacteria
Description: partial 16S ribosomal RNA
Rfam family: Bacterial small subunit ribosomal RNA
Source: RNAcentral